RNAcentral lists this unclassified non-coding RNA (322 nucleotides) under uncultured fungus. RNAcentral describes it as "partial contains small subunit ribosomal RNA, internal transcribed spacer 1, and 5.8S ribosomal RNA". The stretch from base 1 to 73 matches the Rfam family "Eukaryotic small subunit ribosomal RNA", at positions 1759 to 1831 of the family's 1831-position model. Lineage: Eukaryota; Fungi. The record is from RNAcentral.
GCAAACUUGGUCAUUUAGAGGAAGUAAAAGUCGUAACAAGGUUUCCGUAGGUGAACCUGCGGAAGGAUCAUUAUCGAGUUAGGGUCUUCUCAGGCCCGACCUCCCAACCCUUUGUUUACUGAACCACUGUUGCUUCGGCGGGCCCGUCGUUCACGCGACCGCCGGAGGACUGCGAAAUCAGCCCUCUGGCCCGCGCCCGCCGGUGGCCAACGUUUAUAAACUCUUGAAUGAAUCGUGUUUAUUCUCUGAGUAACAUUUAUUAAAUUAAAGCAAAACUUUCAACAACGGAUCUCUUGGUUCUGGCAUCGAUGAAGAACGCAGC